CCCUUAGAGUUUGAUCCUGGCUCAGGAUGAACGCUAGCUACAGGCUUAACACAUGCAAGUCGAGGGGAAACGAUAGAGAAAGCUUGCUUUUUCUAGGCGUCGACCGGCGCACGGGUAAGUAACGCGUAUCCAACCUGCCCAUCACUUGGGGAUAACCUUGCGAAAGUAAGACUAAUACCCAAUGAUAUCUCUAGAAGACAUCUGAAGGAGAUUAAAGAUUCAUCGGUGAUGGAUGGGGAUGCGUCUGAUUAGCUUGUUGGCGGGGUAACGGCCCACCAAGGCGACGAUCAGUAGGGGUUCUGAGAGGAAGGUCCCCCACAUUGGAACUGAGAUACGGUCCAAACUCCUACGGGAGGCAGCAGUGAGGAAUAUUGGUCAAUGGGCGAGAGCCUGAACCAGCCAAGUAGCGUGCAGGAUGACGGCCCUAUGGGUUGUAAACUGCUUUUAUAAGGGAAUAA
RNAcentral lists this ribosomal RNA (458 nucleotides) under uncultured bacterium. RNAcentral's name for it is "bacterial SSU rRNA". It matches the Rfam family "Bacterial small subunit ribosomal RNA", at positions 1 to 449 of the family's 1533-position model. The record is from RNAcentral.